Molecule: unclassified non-coding RNA, 501 nt
Filed under: Hevea brasiliensis (rubber tree)
Lineage: Eukaryota; Viridiplantae; Streptophyta; Magnoliopsida; Malpighiales; Euphorbiaceae
Source: RNAcentral
UCUUUCAUGCCUGGUGAUCCUUCUAUGACUCAUAUGCCAAUGAAUGGUAGCAGUAUUGGAGAUGAGCUUCAUGAAGUGGAACUUUAGGGGAGUAAUGAAGAUGUAAAUACCAAGUUUUGUUCCUUGUGAUCAAUACAAUACUUGGGGUGGGCGUCAUCAUGCACAUCUCAAAAAGGCAAUUUGUUUGCAACAGCAUCAGGAUUCAGAAAAGAAAGUAAAAUAUGAUCUGGACAAAAUUACCCUAGUCAAUUACCUCUCCUCUUAAUUGUAAGUCGAAAUGCGGUUGGCAUAUAUUUUACUGCAAACUAAGCUUAGGGUUUAUUUUAAUGUCACAAGAGUUGCCUCCAUCUAAUGCCUGAGAAGCUGAGGUUUUUUUUUUUCUUUUUUUUUUUUCCGUUUCAACUGCAAAACGAAGGCGGCCUUCCCAGGCAUUGUUGUACAGUGCAUUUGUUCAUUUGUUGAAAACAGGAAAUGUCUCUUGAGCAUGAUAGAAGCAAGCCC